CACUAAGGUCAACACGUCAAGGUUGAACUCAGUCCUUCAGAUUCGGGCUGCACAGUCAACUGGCCAAGUUAGGAAGAAGACUACAGGAUUCCCCUAGUACGGCGAGUGAAGCGGGAACAGCUCAAAUUUGAAAUCUCACAGGGCUACCUGUGCGAAUUGUAGUUUAGAGAAGCGUUUUCGGGGGCAACUUGGGUAUAAGUCCUUUGGAAUGAGGCAUCAUAGAGGGUGAGAAUCCCGUUUAUGAUCCAAUGUUUGCUCCUAUGUGAUACGCUUUCCAAGAGUCAGGUAGUUUGGGAUUGCUGCCUAAAAUGGGUGGUAAAUACCAUCUAAAGCUAAAUAUUGGCGAGAGACCGAUAGCGAACAAGUACCGUGAGGGAAAGAUGAAAAGAACUUUGAAAAGAGAGUUAAACAGUACGUGAAAUUGCCAAAAGGGAAACGCUUGGAACCAGUAUUGUUUACAGGUAAUCAGCUAUACAGCCUGGAAAGGUUAGUAUGGUGCACUUGCUUGUGAACAGGUCAACAUCAGUUUGGUUUGGGGUAAAAAGCCAGAGGAAGGUGACUUGGACUUCGGUCUGAGUGUUAUAGCCUCUGGUCAUGCCUUGGACUGGACUGAGGUCUGCAGCAUUCUUUGGGUACCUGAUUGCCUCCUGACCCUUGGUUUUAGACAGCUUGCUGACUGAGAUUAAGGUUAGGGAGCCCAGUUUAGGCUUUGCCACACCCAGGUGCUUAGGAUGUUGACGAAAUGAUUCCAAACGGCCCGGUCUUUGAAACCACGGACCCAAGGGAGUCUAACAUAUAUGCCGAGUAUUUUGGGUGGCAAAACCCUUAUGCGAAAUGAAAAGUGAACUUAGGUGGGAUCUUUCGGUGCACCAUCGACCGGUCUGGAUUUUUUUGAUAGAUCUGAGUAAGAGCAUAUCUGUUGGGACCCGAAAGAUGGUGAACUAUGCCUGAAUAGGGUGAAGCCAGAGGAAACUCUGGUGGAGGCUCGUAGCGAUUCUGACGUGCAAAUCGAUCGUCAAAUUUGGGUAUAGGGGCGAAAGACUAAUCGAACCAUUACCAAAAGACAACAGCUCUUAGGUGGUUAAGAGGGACGUAAAGUACGAUCCCUAGUCCUGUGAAAGCGGGCAAGACUGUCAAAAUGCUGGGACACCCUAAAGACAUUGGUACUAAACCAGGCUGGAAACAAUCUGGUGGUGGAGUAACUUGCUCCAGAGUGAAAAUCCAAUGUAUGAAAGGCUUUACAGGCCUGGAAAUGGGCAAUCAGCAGCCAAGCCCUAAGUCUGCUGCUUUUAAAGCAGCAGAUAUGGGUGCAGUUCAGAGACUAGAUGGCAGUCGGUGUCUUGUUCAGAGAUGCUUAAGGUAUAGUCCAAUCCCAACUGAAAGGUUGGCCUUCAGACAAAGCUGUACGGUGCUUUCACCAUACUUGCCUGUUGUUUAAAACAUCUUGGCCAGUUGACUGUGCAGCCCGAAUCUGAAGGACUGAGUUCAACCUUGACGUGUUGACCUUAGUG
RNAcentral lists this ribosomal RNA (1511 nucleotides) under Spizellomyces sp. CC 410F. RNAcentral's name for it is "eukaryotic LSU rRNA". It matches the Rfam family "Eukaryotic large subunit ribosomal RNA", at positions 1 to 1456 of the family's 3401-position model. The record is from RNAcentral. Lineage: Eukaryota; Fungi; Chytridiomycota; Chytridiomycetes; Spizellomycetales; Spizellomycetaceae.